GCGCACGGGUGCGUAACGCGUAUGCAUCUACCUUUUACAGAGGGAUAGCCCAGAGAAAUUUGGAUUAAUACCUCAUAGUAUAUAGCCCUGGCAUCAGGAUUAUAUUAAAGUCACAACGGUAAAAGAUGAGCAUGCGUCCCAUUAGCUAGUUGGUAAGGUAACGGCUUACCAAGGCUACGAUGGGUAGGGGUCCUGAGAGGGAGAUCCCCCACACUGGUACUGAGACACGGACCAGACUCCUACGGGAGGCAGCAGUGAGGAAUAUUGGACAAUGGGCGCAAGCCUGAUCCAGCCAUGCCGCGUGCAGGAUGACGGUCCUAUGGAUUGUAAACUGCUUUUAUACGAGAAGAAACACUCCUUCGUGAAGGAGCUUGACGGUAUCGUAAGAAUAAGGAUCGGCUAACUCCGUGCCAGCAGGCGCGGUAAUACGGAGGAUCCAAGCGUUAUCCGGAAUCAUUGGGUUUAAAGGGUCCGUAGGCGGUUUAAUAAGUCAGUGGUGAAAGCCCAUCGCUCAACGGUGG
This 521-nucleotide ribosomal RNA is filed under the name uncultured Bacteroidota bacterium. RNAcentral describes it as "bacterial SSU rRNA". It matches the Rfam family "Bacterial small subunit ribosomal RNA", at positions 98 to 618 of the family's 1533-position model. The record is from RNAcentral. Lineage: Bacteria; Pseudomonadati; Bacteroidota.